RNAcentral lists this long non-coding RNA (309 nucleotides) under Mytilus galloprovincialis (Mediterranean mussel). Lineage: Eukaryota; Metazoa; Mollusca; Bivalvia; Mytilida; Mytilidae. The record is from RNAcentral.
AAAUUUAUCACCUUUGUAGUCAUUGCAAAGUAAAAUGCUAGAAUAAUUAUAUCAUAUCAUUGAUUAAUAAUGAGCAGAAUAAUAUAAGAAGAUGUGGUAUGAGUGCCAAUAAGAAAACUCUCCAUCUAAUUCACUAUUCGUAAAAGUAAACCACCAUAGGCCAAAAUACGGUCUUCAACACGGAGCAUUGGCUCACACUGAACAACAAACUAUAAAGGCCCCCCAAAACGAUAUCCAUGUUACUACUAGUAUAUAUAUUACAAAGAAAAUUGAGUAAAUUGAGAUUAUACCUAAGAAAAAAAAUCAACC